Non-coding RNA from Paramuricea clavata, 319 nucleotides. The record is from the annotation of a GenBank genome assembly. Lineage: Eukaryota; Metazoa; Cnidaria; Anthozoa; Malacalcyonacea; Plexauridae.
GACAAUAGUUCAUGUUAUUUACAGAAUGUGAUGUAAUUUUGAAAUUUGAAGUUUUACACACAAUAUAAUCAGUGCUAGCACAAUGGCUUCGUUUCAAUUUGAGCAUAUAAAAAAUUAGAAUUUUGAUAGCGUACGUGGCCUUUCACAAACAUAUUAAACGCCUGAUAAUUGAUAAAUAAAUAUCAGUGCGAGCACAACGGCAGCAAAAUAAUAACAAAUAAAAGAAUAUGAGCUAAAUUAAAAACAGCAAAGCUUUACCUACCUCGAUCUAGUUUUCUAAGGCGCUAAUUUAAGUAAAUUUUCGACGAAAGCCGUGAAC